ACGUAGGGGACGAGCGUUGUCCGGAUUUACUGGGCGUAAAGGGCGCGUAGGCGGUCAUUUAAGUCAGCUGUGAAAUGGUUUGGCUUAACCGGAUCAUGCGGUUGAAACUGGAUGACUGGAGUGCUGGUGAGGCAAGUGGAAUUCCUAAUGUAGCGGUGAAAUGCGUAGAUAUUGGGAAGAACACCGGUGGCGAAGGCAGCUUACUGGCCAGCAACUGACGCUGAGGCGCGAAAGCGUGGGGAUCAAACAG
RNAcentral lists this ribosomal RNA (250 nucleotides) under uncultured prokaryote. RNAcentral describes it as "partial 16S rRNA". It matches the Rfam family "Bacterial small subunit ribosomal RNA", at positions 525 to 775 of the family's 1533-position model. The record is from RNAcentral.